GAUGAACGCUGGCGGCGUGCCUAAUACAUGCAAGUCGAGCGAACGGACGGGAAGCUUGCUUCUCUGAUGUUAGCGGCGGACGGGUGAGUAACACGUGGAUAACCUACCUAUAAGACUGGGAUAACUUCGGGAAACCGGAGCUAAUACCGGAUGAUAUUUUGAACCGCAUGGUUCAAAAGUGAAAGACGGUCUUGCUGUCACUUAUAGAUGGAUCCGCGCUGCAUUAGCUAGUUGGUAAGGUAACGGCUUACCAAGGCAACGAUGCAUAGCCGACCUGAGAGGGUGAUCGGCCACACUGGAACUGAGACGCGGUCCAGACUCCUACGGGAGGCAGCAGUAGGGAAUCUUCCGCAAUGGGCGAAAGCCUGACGGAGCAACGCCGCGUGAGUGAUGAAGGUCUUCGGAUCGUAAAACUCUGUUAUUAGGGAAGAACAUAUGUGUAAGUAACUGUGCACAUCUUGACGGUACCUAAUCAGAAAGCCACGGCUAACUACGUG
This 497-nucleotide ribosomal RNA is filed under the name uncultured bacterium. RNAcentral's name for it is "partial 16S ribosomal RNA". It matches the Rfam family "Bacterial small subunit ribosomal RNA", at positions 28 to 507 of the family's 1533-position model. The record is from RNAcentral.